AACGAACGCUGGCGGCGUGCUUAACACAUGCAAGUCGAGCGUGAAAGUCCCUUCGGGGGCAAGUAAAGCGGCGGACGGGUGAGUAAUACAUAGGUAAUCUACCUUCGAGAUUGGGAUAACCCCGCGAAAGUGGGGCUAAUACCGGAUAAGACCACAUGGCUCAGGUCGUGCGGUCAAAGGUGGCUUGUAUUUAUACGGGCUAUCACUUGAGGAUGAGCCUAUGGCCUAUCAGCUUGUUGGCGGGUAAGAGCCCACCAAGGCUAUGACGGGUAGCUGGUCUGAGAGGACGACCAGCCACACUGGGACUGAGACACGGCCCAGACUCCUACGGGAGGCAG
RNAcentral lists this ribosomal RNA (338 nucleotides) under uncultured Pseudomonadota bacterium. RNAcentral's name for it is "bacterial SSU rRNA". It matches the Rfam family "Bacterial small subunit ribosomal RNA", at positions 29 to 351 of the family's 1533-position model. Lineage: Bacteria; Pseudomonadati; Pseudomonadota. The record is from RNAcentral.